This is a transfer RNA of Rhizopogon vesiculosus, 80 nucleotides long. It matches the Rfam family "tRNA". From Rfam's summary of the family: Transfer RNA (tRNA) molecules are approximately 80 nucleotides in length. Their secondary structure includes four short double-helical elements and three loops (D, anti-codon, and T loops). Further hydrogen bonds mediate the characteristic L-shaped molecular structure. tRNAs have two regions of fundamental functional importance: the anti-codon, which is responsible for specific mRNA codon recognition, and the 3' end, to which the tRNAs corresponding amino acid is attached (by aminoacyl-tRNA synthetases). tRNAs cope with the degeneracy of the genetic code in two manners: having more than one tRNA (with a specific anti-codon) for a particular amino acid; and 'wobble' base-pairing, i.e. permitting non-standard base-pairing at the 3rd anti-codon position. The record is from Rfam. Lineage: Eukaryota; Fungi; Basidiomycota; Agaricomycetes; Boletales; Rhizopogonaceae.
GGCUGGAUGGCCGAGUGGUCUAAGGCGCUAGAAUCAGGAUCUAGUCCGAAAGGGCGCGUGUUCGAAUCACGCUCCAGUCA